Molecule: ribosomal RNA, 253 nt
Filed under: uncultured bacterium
Lineage: Bacteria
Description: partial 16S ribosomal RNA
Rfam family: Bacterial small subunit ribosomal RNA
Source: RNAcentral
GACGGGGGGGGCAAGUGUUCUUCGGAAUGACUGGGCGUAAAGGGCGCGUAGGCGGUUUGCUUAGUUAGGCGUGAAAUUCCUGGGCUCAACCUGGGGGCUGCGCUUAAUACAGGCAGACUAGAGUGUGAAAGAGGGUCGUGGAAUUUCCAGUGUAGAGGUGAAAUUCGUAGAUAUUGGAAAGAACACCGGUGGCGAAGGCGGCGACCUGGUUCAUUACUGACGCUGAGGCGCGAAAGCGUGGGGAGCAAACAGG